RNAcentral lists this ribosomal RNA (650 nucleotides) under uncultured marine bacterium. Its description in RNAcentral is "bacterial SSU rRNA". It matches the Rfam family "Bacterial small subunit ribosomal RNA", at positions 86 to 771 of the family's 1533-position model. The record is from RNAcentral.
AUGUGGACAGUGGCAGACGGGUGAGUAACGCGUGGCAACCUACCAUUUUCUACGGAACAACAGUUGGAAACGACUGCUAAUACCGUAUACGUCCUCCGGGAGAAAGAUUUAUCGGUGAAUGAUGGGGCCGCGUUAGAUUAGCUAGUUGGUGAGGUAAUGGCUCACCAAGGCGACGAUCUAUAGCGGGUCUGAGAGGAUGAUCCGCCACACUGGGACUGAGACACGGCCCAGACUCCUACGGGAGGCAGCAGUGGGGAAUAUUGGACAAUGGGCGCAAGCCUGAUCCAGCCAUGCCGCGUGAAUGAUGAAGGCCUUAGGGUUGUAAAAUUCUUUCGCUAGGGAAGAUAAUGACGGUACCUAGUAAAGAAGCCCCGGCUAACUCCGUGCCAGCAGCCGCGGUAAUACGGAGGGGGCUAGCGUUGUUCGGAAUUACUGGGCGUAAAGCGUGCGUAGGCGGAUUAUUAAGUUAGAUGUGAAAUCCCGAGGCUCAACCUCGGAACUGCAUUUAAAACUGGUAGUCUUGAGUUCUGGAGAGGUAAGUGGAAUUCCUAGUGUAGAGGUGAAAUUCGUAGAUAUUAGGAGGAACACCAGAGGCGAAGGCGGCUUACUGGACAGAUACUGACGCUGAGGCACGAAAGUGUGGGUAGCAA